CAAGUGGCACUGUUUUGGGAGCUGUCUGUAAUCCACCAAGCGACUGAACUCAUCCACUGCGUAGGAGUUGUGGGGCAGCCAUGCUUCUCUACAAGGAUACAGAUACCAGAUGAUGAAAUGGAGGCAUACAGAGUACAAAUGAAAUUUGCGGCCGGGCAUGGUGGCUCACUCCUGUAGUCCCAGCACUUUGGGAGGCCGAGGCAGGUGGAUCACGUGAGGUCAGGAGACCAGUAUGGCCAACAUGGUGAAACCCCGUCUCUACUAAAAAUACAAAAAUUAGCCAGGCAUGGUGGCAGGCACGUGUAAUCCUAGCCUCUCGGGAGGCUGAGGCAGGAGAAUGCUUGAACCUGGGAGGCGGAAAUUGUAGUGAGCUGAGACCAUGCCAUUGCACUCCAACCUGGGCAACAAGAGCAAGACUCCAUCUCAAAAAAAAAGAAGAAGAAAAGAAAUUUGUGGCUGGGGGCAGUGGCUCACGCCU
RNAcentral lists this long non-coding RNA (478 nucleotides) under Homo sapiens (human). Its description in RNAcentral is "HSALNT0123925". Lineage: Eukaryota; Metazoa; Chordata; Mammalia; Primates; Hominidae. The record is from RNAcentral.